Molecule: ribosomal RNA, 258 nt
Filed under: uncultured prokaryote
Description: partial 16S ribosomal RNA
Rfam family: Bacterial small subunit ribosomal RNA
Source: RNAcentral
UACGGAGGAUGCAAGCGUUAUCCGGAUUUAUUGGGUUUAAAGGGUUCGCAGGUUGUUUGAUAAGUCAGUGGUGAAAGUCUGUCGCUUAACGGUAGGAUUGCCAUUGAUACUGUUAGACUUGAAUAUGGAUGAGGUAGGCGGAAUGUGUAGUGUAGCGGUGAAAUGCAUAGAUAUUACACAGAACACCGAUUGCGAAGGCAGCUUACUAAUCCAUCAUUGACGCUGAGGCACGAAAGCGUGGGGAGUCAAACAGGAUUA